GCUGAGUUGGGUAACGCCAGCUUGUAACCUGAGUGGGAGCAAUAGAGUGAUGGAACAUGGCUAUAGCUUGUUGGGCUGGGCUGGUAGUUGCAAUAUGCUGGCUUGCCCGCUCCAAGUUAUGAGUUGGACCAUGGUACUUGGGCUAAAGCUUGGGUGUCUUGGUUCCUAGACGAGAGGGCACUGCGUGAGGCUGGUUUCACAGAGCAGCGAAUACCUCUGGCUCAUUACAGUGGAGGGAUUACAGGCUGCUGCACUUCGAGCCCACUAAGCCUGGUGAGCCUAGCUUCUGAACCAUCACUUUU
This 302-nucleotide signal recognition particle RNA is filed under the name Cicer arietinum (chickpea). RNAcentral's name for it is "Plant signal recognition particle RNA". It matches the Rfam family "Plant signal recognition particle RNA". The record is from Rfam by way of RNAcentral. Lineage: Eukaryota; Viridiplantae; Streptophyta; Magnoliopsida; Fabales; Fabaceae.